GUUGUAGCUCAGUGGUGGAGCGCUUGCCUAGCAUGCGUGAGGCACUGGGUUUGAUCCUCAGCCCCACA
This 68-nucleotide transfer RNA is filed under the name Marmota monax (woodchuck). RNAcentral's name for it is "tRNA.Ala". Lineage: Eukaryota; Metazoa; Chordata; Mammalia; Rodentia; Sciuridae. The record is from RNAcentral.